RNAcentral lists this ribosomal RNA (420 nucleotides) under uncultured prokaryote. RNAcentral's name for it is "bacterial SSU rRNA". It matches the Rfam family "Bacterial small subunit ribosomal RNA", at positions 355 to 774 of the family's 1533-position model. The record is from RNAcentral.
UAAGGAAUAUUGCUCAAUGGGAGAAAUCCUGAAGCAGCAACGCCGCGUGGAGGAUGAAGGGCUUUCAGCUUGUAAACUCCUGUAAAGAAGGAAACAAUUCCCAUUAGAUGGGAAAUGAUGGUACUUCUAAAGUAAGCCCCGGCUAACUACGUGCCAGCAGCCGCGGUAAUACGUAGGGGGCAAGCGUGGUCCGGAUUGACUGGGUGUAAAGGGUGCGCAGGCGGAUUUGUAAGUCAGAGGUGAAAUCUCACAGCUUAACUGGGAAACUGCCUUUGAUACUGCAAGUCUAGAGUAUGGAAGAGAGUGAUGGAAUGUCUGGUGUAGCAGUGAAAUGCGUAGAUAUCAGAUAGAACACCAAUGGCGAAGGCAGUCACUUGGUCCAUUACUGACGCUAAAGCACGAAAGCGUGGGUAGCAAACA